UAAGAAUAAGUGCAAGUGCAAUAGAGGGGUUAGGGAGUGUCGAGGCAGGCUGGUGGUCAUACCUAGUUAUAAGGUAGACUGGUACACCCUUGACCAAGCAUGUUCAGCCAACAAAUAUGAGCACAGAACUAUUGAAGAUCAGGACAUGGUCCAGACAAUGAUUAGGACAUUGUUAGACCAUAGUCUUUAACUCAGAAUACAUGUAAAUGGAAUGGGAAUGGGAAUUGGAAAGAGUUUAGGAUUCGAGUCCAGCCCAUACGCAUGAACAACAAUGUCAACUUUUGUCAUGCUUUUCGGACCAUAACUCUACAUAUAAAGGGAAUUGGGGGUAGGAAUUCAUGUAAGCACAGAGAAAGAAGUAAGCAAACUUGCAGAAAUUACAGCAUCGAAACAGUAAGACAAAUAGAGAAAAGGCUGAAAAGUGAACAUGUAGUGGAGAGACAUGAUUUAAACAAAGAGAGACAUACCAGUUGUAGAAAAAGUAAACAAAGAAACUACAGUAUUCUUUCAGCCAAACCAUAAUCAGAGAAGAAAGUUUUGAACUUAUGAGUUCAGAGAACUCGAAGGCUUAAGAAAUUCUAAAUGAAUUUGAGAGAAGUAGUAGUGAUUUUGUUCUGUUAGAACUUGUUCUUGAAAGAGAAAAAGGUACAGGUAUUUAUAGCUUUGAAAACUAGUAGAAAACAAGGUAACAAAUAAGGUUACAACACAAACAUGGAAAUAAUCACAGUCAAAAUCAAUUAACAUAGGUUUUUCCCUUUAAUCAAGGGAUUACUGCUCAAGGACGCUAACAUGAUUAGUAUAAGGAAAGAAAAUCAAUUUGCAAGCAAAAUGAUUAUUGCCAUAAAAGGAGCAGUAAAAUAAUAUAGUAAAGGACUAGGCCUAAAUACAGGAGUGUACUUAUUUUUUGAAAGGAUCUAGUAAGGCCAAACAAAGAGGAAGAAUCAAUUAACAUUUAACGGGCGAGCAAAAAAUCAGAAUUGUACAAGGAAAAGUUUUGAAAAUUAGUCACGAGUUUGAAAAUCAAUCACAGAAGGGACUCAGUAUAUAAAUGAAGUACAUAAGUAAUAGACAUGUGAGGCCAAGCUAUGGCAAGAAGAAACAACAUACAGUAAUAACAUGAUAGUCACUUGGGUAAAAUUUCAUUAGUAAUAGAGAAAAGAUCAGAAGCAUGCAGAAGUUAGGUGAAAACUUUUCUGAAAACAUAGUCAAGUUUGACAUAUAGCAAAACUCAUAAUAGAGAUGAAUCACAUAAAGAAAAGGGAUGUUGAAGUUUAAAAAAGGCAGAUUGAGCAAUUUCAAACAGACGAGUUGCAUAAACAAACUCAAGAAUUCGAAUAGACCCCAAAGAACUAGAGUUUUCGAAAUCAGUAGAGUUUAGAAGCAAUAAACAAGUGAAACAAAUAAACAGACUCAGAGUCUCACAUAAACCCCAAAAAUUAGGUUUUUCAACGCUAAUCAGGUGUAGAUAAGGUAAAUCAAAAUGAUAUCGACAAACAGACUAAGAAACUCAAACAAAAUUCCAAAAAUUGGAGUUUUCAACAUGCAACUCAAAUAGAAAAACAACACAAGCAAAACACAAGAAAACAUGUCUAGAAUCAGAGAAGUGAUUCGAAAUAACUUAACAUGAAACCCUAGUUGAAGACAAAAGAUUUUUGAAAACAAAAUUAAAGUUUGAACUUCGAAAAAAAAUUCUUAGCAAGUUCAAACACACAUAGAUCAGAGCAGAUCUGAAAUAAAAUCGGAGGAACCUUAGAGAUUAGGAUUUCGUAAGAAACCCAAGUGAUAAAAAAGGCUUUGAAAACCCUUGAUCUGAGCAGGAGAGUCAAAGGUCGAACUCGAAUAACCAUGGCCGGCCGAACAAAGGUUGAAGACGGCCGGAGAACAGUCAUCAAGCAAAGGACUGGUCGAAAACCCUUCAAGAUCUAGUCAUAGGACCUCAUAAAUGAGCACGUAGAAGCCAUAAAAGACUGGUAUAUGCCGCCGAUGAGCUUGGGAAGCCAUAGAUUAGGGUUUAAUGAGAGGCGGCAGCUAGGGUUUGAGGUGAGUUGAGAAAAAU
Molecule: long non-coding RNA, 2056 nt
Filed under: Nicotiana benthamiana
Lineage: Eukaryota; Viridiplantae; Streptophyta; Magnoliopsida; Solanales; Solanaceae
Description: long non-coding RNA (NBEN_LNC016545)
Source: RNAcentral